AUUGAACGCUGGCGGCAGGCCUAACACAUGCAAGUCGAGCGGAUGAAGGGAGCUUGCUCCUGGAUUCAGCGGCGGACGGGUGAGUAAUGCCUAGGAAUCUGCCUGGUAGUGGGGGAUAACGUCCGGAAACGGGCGCUAAUACCGCAUACGUCCUGAGGGAGAAAGUGGGGGAUCUUCGGACCUCACGCUAUCAGAUGAGCCUAGGUCGGAUUAGCUAGUUGGUGGGGUAAAGGCCUACCAAGGCGACGAUCCGUAACUGGUCUGAGAGGAUGAUCAGUCACACUGGAACUGAGACACGGUCCAGACUCCUACGGGAGUCAGCAGUGGGGAAUAUUGGACAAUGGGCGAAAGCCUGAUCCAGCCAUGCCGCGUGUGUGAAGAAGGUCUUCGGAUUGUAAAGCACUUUAAGUUGGGAGGAAGGGCAGUAAGUUAAUACCUUGCUGUUUUGACGUUACCAACAGAAUAAGCACCGGCUAACUUCGUG
This 484-nucleotide ribosomal RNA is filed under the name uncultured bacterium. Its description in RNAcentral is "partial 16S ribosomal RNA". It matches the Rfam family "Bacterial small subunit ribosomal RNA", at positions 30 to 507 of the family's 1533-position model. The record is from RNAcentral.